Molecule: ribosomal RNA, 394 nt
Filed under: Entamoeba histolytica
Lineage: Eukaryota; Evosea; Mastigamoebida; Endamoebidae
Description: SSU rRNA
Rfam family: Eukaryotic small subunit ribosomal RNA
Source: RNAcentral
AAGCAUUGUUUCUAGAUCUGAGUAUAUCAAUAUUACCUUGUUCAGAACUUAAAGAGAAAUCUUGAGUUUAUGGACUUCAGGGGGAGUAUGGUCACAAGGCUGAAACUUAAAGGAAUUGACGGAAGGGCACACCAGGAGUGGAGCCUGCGGCUUAAUUUGACUCAACACGGGAAAACUUACCAAGACCGAACAGUAGAAGGAAUGACAGAUUAAGAGUUCUUUCAUGAUUUAUUGGGUAGUGGUGCAUGGCCGUUCUUAGUUGGUGGAGUGAUUUGUCAGGUUAAUUCCGGUAACGAACGAGACUGAAACCUAUUAAUUAGUUUUCUGCCUAUAAGACAGAAAUGUUCGCGAGAACAGGUGCGUAAGUACCACUUCUUAAAGGGACACAUUUCAA